GGUUGAAUUGACAUGUUUGUUCCCAUUAGCAAAGAGGACAUGGUUGUGAUUGUUUUGCUCUCACAAAUGGGUAACAGUCAUAAGACCAGACUUCUGUAGAGAGAAAACACACACACACACACACACACACACACACACACACACACACACACACACACACACACACACUUAUCCUAGUCAUAUGAGAAAGGCUAGCCGAAGGAUAGCUGAAGUUGAGGUAAUGGAGAAUUUGCGAUGGAGGCUCCGGCACUGGGCUUCUGUGUGUGUGAGAAACUUCUGCUGGUGUUGUGGAACGAAGAAAGAGGUAGAAGAUACACAGGAACCUGUUUACGGGAGAAAAGAAGAUUUGGGAGAACAAGAGACGCCCUCAAGGAGCCAGAGCUUUUCGUCUCUGCCGGCCCUCGAGCUGGGAGAGCUGGAUAGUGUGGAAACUCCUCAACCCCAGUGGUUUCACACACUACAAGUGCGCAGGCUCCGAGCGCAGAGAGGACGCAGCAACAGUGACCCACUGGGGGGCAAGAACUUUCAGUCAGAGUUUCAAUGGAACACGGGUCUGCAGUUUGGAACGGCGAACUCCUACCUGAACCUGGAGAAACUAGGAGAGGGAACAUACGCCACCAUAUAUAAAGGAAUAAGCAGGAUAAACGGACACUUGGUGGCGCUGAAGGUGAUCCGAAUGAAAACGGAGGAAGGCGUUCCGUUCACAGCGAUCAGGGAGGCAUCUCUGUUAAAAGGCCUCAAACACGCCAACAUCGUCCUGCUCCAUGACAUCGUCCACACGCGGGAGUCCCUCACCUUCGUCUUCGAAUACGUGCAAACAGAUUUGGCUCAGUAUAUGAUCCAGCAUCCAGGAGGACUUCAUCCCUGGAAUGUGCGAAUCUUCAUGUUCCAACUGUUGCGAGGUUUAUCGUAUAUCCACAGCAGGAGGAUCCUGCAUCGAGAUCUUAAACCCCAGAACCUGCUCAUCAGCUACCUGGGCGAGCUCAAACUGGCCGACUUCGGUCUAGCCAGGUCCAAGUCGAUCCCAUGCCAGACGUACUCUGCAGAAGUCGUCACCCUGUGGUACAGACCACCUGAUGUUCUCCUGGGGUCCACAGAUUAUUCUACAGCACUGGAUAUCUGGGGUGCAGGCUGCAUUUUUAUCGAGAUGCUGCAGGGAGCGCCAGCGUUCCCCGGUGUGGCUGAUGUGUUUGAACAGUUGGUGAAAAUCUGGAGAGUUCUCGGUGUACCCACGGAGGAGAGCUGGCCGGGAGUGAGCGAGCUGCCAAACUAUAAAACGGAAUGGUUCCUGCCCUGUAAACCCCAGCAAUUCAGAGAUGUCUGGAAAAGAUUUGCACAGUUACCCUAUAAGACAGAGGACCUGGCCCAGCAGUUGUUGACGAUGAUUCCCAAAGAAAGGAUUUUAGCCCAGGAUGCUUUACUCCAUCCCUAUUUCAACCCGCUGCCACCGCCUGUGAUGCAGCUGCGAGACACCGUAUCCAUCUUCAAGGUGCCUGGGGUGAGGCUGGAGACGGAAGUGAGUGAUAUCUUUAGCCCCAACAGAUGGAUGAAGUCUAACCUAGUGCCACAUGGGAAAUGCUGGUGAUAGGUUCCUUCUGGCCACGUCGAACACACAGAAAAUAUUAGAAGAAAGAGGAAGGAGGAAAAAAAACAAACUCUUUGUAAUUGAGGAUCAUCAUGGAUUCCUUGUUGACAAGAAUAACAGAACAAUCCUGAGUGUUGCUUUUAAGGGCUGCAUCCAUUUGCAGUGACCAUGAAGUGGUCUGGACUUGGGAUGGAUGGAUGGAUGGAUGGAUGCAUGGAUGGAUGGAUGGAUGGAUGGAUGGAUGGAUGGAUGGAUGGAUGGAUGGAUGGAGACACUCUGGAGUAAGGAUGUUCUUGAAGCUGUGGUACUGAAAGAGUCAAUGACAUAAAUAGCACUUUUCAUGCAGCAUACAGAAAAACCAACAUCUACAGUUACACCAAAGACAAUGAGAACAAAUUUAAAAUGAAUCCAAUAAAAAAGCGAAUUCUCUGAAGGGGAAAUGAUGUGAGAGACACAUCUGAUUCCUGUAGCAGCUACUUUCAUUUUGCUCAGUGAACUCUGACAAGCAUGAGGCAGGCAAAAGAAAAGGACGAGGCGGGGCUAUGGUGUCUUUGUUUGGUAAAAGAAUCGAGGAACUGCCUCUUAUUAACUAUCAGUGAACACCAGAUAUUUUCCUUGCAGUUUUCUUGCAGCUGGAAAAAAAAACAAUCAAAUCUUUUCCAGAGAAAAUGUAAGAAAUAAGAUCAAAUCUUCAAUCGUGAAUCCACUGAUAAAGUCUUGUCGGAGCAACGGUGGCAUCUCUGUAGCAUAUAAUUUAUGUAGCUUUAUGUAAAUAUUUUUCCGAAAGGCCUUUUAAUGUGGAAAGAUGUGAGCCAGAGAGGGAGGGAGAGAGGGAGGGAGGGAGAGGUAAAAAUCUUUCACAUAUGCACACUGACCCAUGAGCGUUAAGGCAAAUUGCAAAUUGAAAGGUCAUGGCCAUAUAGGAAAAAGAGCUGGAGCUGAUCCCAGAUCCUCCCAUAGAGAGAGAGAGAGAGAGAGAGAGAGAGAGAGAGAGAGAGAGAGAGAGAGAGAGAGAGAGAGAGAGAU
Tachysurus fulvidraco (yellow catfish) is the source of this 2611-nucleotide RNA transcript. It is a transcript of the gene named cyclin-dependent kinase 15, with no coding region annotated. Lineage: Eukaryota; Metazoa; Chordata; Actinopteri; Siluriformes; Bagridae. The transcript has 14 exons. The record is from RefSeq and is a predicted model, not a curated record.